RNAcentral lists this RNase P RNA (343 nucleotides) under Candidatus Pelethenecus faecipullorum. RNAcentral describes it as "RNase P RNA component class B". It matches the Rfam family "Bacterial RNase P class B". Rfam says of the family: Ribonuclease P (RNase P) is a ubiquitous endoribonuclease, found in archaea, bacteria and eukarya as well as chloroplasts and mitochondria. Its best characterised activity is the generation of mature 5'-ends of tRNAs by cleaving the 5'-leader elements of precursor-tRNAs. The record is from RNAcentral. Lineage: Bacteria; Bacillati; Mycoplasmatota; Mollicutes.
ACAGUCGGGUAACUGAGCCUUCGGGUUAGGAAAGUCCAUGCUAGCACAGUCUGAGAUGAUUGUAGUGUUUGUGCCUGGCCAAACCAUAAGCCAGGGCGCCUAUUUUUAGGUGACGGCGAAGGAAGCCUACGUUCGAUUUUUCGAAUAGGGUGUACUUCAUAACGUGCCACAGAGACGAGUUUCAUAGAAAUAUGAAAAUGAAACGUUGGUAAACCCCUCAAGCUAGAAACCCAAAUCAUGGUAGGGGAGCCUUUCGAUGCGAAAUGAAGCGGACAAGGGGCAACUUAGUUGCAGAUAAAUAGUUACCACCUUGAAAUCAAGGUACAGAACAUGGCUUACAGAC